CAAAGCAGGCUUACGCCCGAAUACAUUANCAUGGAAUAAUAAAAUAGGACGUGCGGUUCUAUUUUGUUGGUUUCUAGGAUCGCCGUAAUGAUUAAUAGGGAUAGUUGGGGGCAUUCGUAUUCAAUUGCUANAGGNGAAAUUCUUGGAUUUAUUGAAGACGAACUACUGCGAAAGCAUUUGCCAAGGAUGUUUUCAUUGAUCAAGAACGAAGGUUAGGGGAUCGAANACNAUCAGAUACCGUUGUANNCUUAACAGUAAACGAUGCCGACUAGGGAUCGGACGA
This 283-nucleotide ribosomal RNA is filed under the name uncultured Cyphobasidiales. RNAcentral's name for it is "partial 18S ribosomal RNA". It matches the Rfam family "Eukaryotic small subunit ribosomal RNA", at positions 776 to 1060 of the family's 1831-position model. Lineage: Eukaryota; Fungi; Basidiomycota; Cystobasidiomycetes; Cyphobasidiales. The record is from RNAcentral.